RNAcentral lists this ribosomal RNA (1145 nucleotides) under uncultured bacterium. RNAcentral describes it as "bacterial SSU rRNA". It matches the Rfam family "Bacterial small subunit ribosomal RNA", at positions 201 to 1345 of the family's 1533-position model. The record is from RNAcentral.
UCAAAGGAGUGAUCCGGCAGAGGAUGGACAUGCGGCGCAUUAGCUAGUCGGCGGGGUAACGGCCCACCGAGGCUACGAUGCGUAGGGGUUCUGAGAGGAAGGUCCCCCACACUGGUACUGAGACACGGACCAGACUCCUACGGGAGGCAGCAGUGAGGAAUAUUGGUCAAUGGGCGGAAGCCUGAACCAGCCAAGUCGCGUGAGGGAAGACGGUCCUAUGGAUUGUAAACCUCUUUUGCAGGGGAGCAAGGCGCGGUACGUGUACCGCGAAGGAGAGUACCCUGAGAAAAAGCAUCGGCUAACUCCGUGCCAGCAGCCGCGGUAAUACGGAGGAUGCGAGCGUUAUCCGGAUUUAUUGGGUUUAAAGGGUGCGCAGGCGGACUGUUAAGUCAGCGGUAAAAUGUCGGUGCUCAACACCGGCCGGCCGUUGAAACUGGCAGCCUUGAGUGAGCGAGAAGUAUGCGGAAUGCGUGGUGUAGCGGUGAAAUGCAUAGAUAUCACGCAGAACUCCGAUUGCGAAGGCAGCAUACCGGCGCUCAACUGACGCUCAGGCACGAAAGCGUGGGUAUCGAACAGGCUUAGAUACCCUGGUAGUCCACGCAGUAAACGAUGAAUGCUCACUGUCCGGGCCGUUUAAGGCCUGGGUGGUCAAGCGAAAGCGUUAAGCAUUCCACCUGGGGAGUACGCCGGCAACGGUGAAACUCAAAGGAAUUGACGGGGGCCCGCACAAGCGGAGGAACAUGUGGUUUAAUUCGAUGAUACGCGAGGAACCUUACCCGGGCUCAAACGGAAGGGGACAGUAUGAGAAAUCAUACAUUCCUUCGGGACCGCUCCCGAGGUGCUGCAUGGUUGUCGUCAGCUCGUGCCGUGAGGUGUCGGCUUAAGUGCCAUAACGAGCGCAACCCCUAUCGACAGUUGCUAGCAGGUAAAGCUGAGGACUCUGUCGAGACUGCCGGCGCAAGCUGUGAGGAAGGCGGGGAUGACGUCAAAUCAGCACGGCCCUUACGUCCGGGGCGACACACGUGUUACAAUGGCAGGUACAGCGGGAAGCCACCCGGCGACGGGGCGCAGAACCCGAAAACCUGUCUCAGUUCGGAUUGGAGUCUGCAACCCGACUCCAUGAAGCUGGAUUCGCUAGUAAUCGC